UCGUAACAAGGUCUCCGUUGGUGAACCAGCGGAGGGAUCAUUACAGAGUAUUAAAACACUCCUGUAUAAACCAUUUGUGAACCUAUACCUUACGUUGCCUCGGCGGUCUUACCCUGCAGCUUACCCUGUAGCGGGCGGACCGCCGAUGGAAAACCAAACUAUUUGUAUUAUUAUCAUCUGAGAGUCUUAUGAAAAUAAGUCAAAACCUUUAACAACGGAUCUCUUGGUUCUGGCAUCGAUGAAGAACGCAGCGAAAUGCGAUAAGUAAUGUGAAUUGCAGAAUUCAGUGAAUCAUCGAAUCUUUGAACGCACAUUGCGCCCCCCAGCAUUCUGGAGGGCAUGCCUGUUCGAGCGUCAUUAGUACCACUCAAGACCUAGUCUUGGCGUUGGGAGACUACCCGGGAGCUACCCUGUAGCUGUUACCCUGUAGCUCCUCAAAUUCACCGGCGGAGUGACGGUUCUACCUCUGAGCGCAGUAAUAUACCUCUCGCUUCUGUAGGUGCCGUGGCCCUCGCCGCUAAACCCCCAACUUUUUUACUGGGUUGACCUCGGAUCAGGUAGGAAUACCCGCUGAACUUAAGCAUAUCA
Molecule: ribosomal RNA, 588 nt
Filed under: fungal endophyte
Lineage: Eukaryota; Fungi
Description: eukaryotic LSU rRNA
Rfam family: 5.8S ribosomal RNA (bases 204-357)
Source: RNAcentral